GCAAGUCGAGCGCUACCUUCGGGUGGAGCGGCGGACGGGUUAGUAACGCGUGGGAACGUGCCCUUCUCUAAGGAAUAGCCUCUGGAAACGGAGAGUAAUACCUUAUACGCCCUUUGGGGGAAAGAUUUAUCGGAGAAGGAUCGGCCCGCGUUAGAUUAGGUAGUUGGUGGGGUAAUGGCCUACCAAGCCUACGAUCUAUAGCUGGUUUGAGAGGAUGAUC
Molecule: ribosomal RNA, 220 nt
Filed under: uncultured bacterium
Lineage: Bacteria
Description: partial 16S ribosomal RNA
Rfam family: Bacterial small subunit ribosomal RNA
Source: RNAcentral